This 440-nucleotide long non-coding RNA is filed under the name Brassica napus (rape). Its description in RNAcentral is "long non-coding RNA (BNAP_LNC023425)". The record is from RNAcentral. Lineage: Eukaryota; Viridiplantae; Streptophyta; Magnoliopsida; Brassicales; Brassicaceae.
UUCUCAAAGGUUACUUAGGUCUUUGGGGAUGGUUGUUUGAAUGACUAAGUACCUAGGGGAGUUGUUUGAUGCCAGAAUCAAGAUAAGGACCUUAAGUAAGAUCAUUGAGUGAUCGUGGUCCAACUGUCAAGCAAGAUCAAUUUGAGUCAAUGGAGGACUGAUGAGCUAAUAAGCUCCAUAGAUGUGGCAAAGGUAUGAUCUAGCAUUUUCUUAUGUAGAUCUAGAUAGAAUGGUUUAGGGGAAUGGAACCUCAGAAUCGUAUGGCUUGGUUUGGGUUUAGGAUUGACCUUUAAGCUAAUUGGAAGUUGAGUAAACUGACCAAGGCUAAGGUGAUUCGACCAGACAAGUGUUAGAUUGGUUUUAGACCAAUGGUUUACUAGAGAAUAAUCCGCUGCGUAUCUGUUUAAAGGAUCUAGGCUAUUAAUGACUAGGGAAGUCUU